This 578-nucleotide ribosomal RNA is filed under the name Acetobacteraceae bacterium AP6. RNAcentral describes it as "bacterial SSU rRNA". It matches the Rfam family "Bacterial small subunit ribosomal RNA", at positions 339 to 934 of the family's 1533-position model. Lineage: Bacteria; Pseudomonadati; Pseudomonadota; Alphaproteobacteria; Acetobacterales; Acetobacteraceae. The record is from RNAcentral.
CUACGGGAGGCAGCAGUGGGGAAUAUUGGACAAUGGGGGGAACCCUGAUCCAGCAAUGCCGCGUGUGUGAAGAAGGUCUUCGGAUUGUAAAGCACUUUCACUAGGGAAGAUGAUGACGGUACCUAGAGAAGAAGCCCCGGCUAACUUCGUGCCAGCAGCCGCGGUAAUACGAAGGGGGCUAGCGUUGCUCGGAAUGACUGGGCGUAAAGGGCGCGUAGGCUGUUUGUACAGUCAGAUGUGAAAUCCCCGGGCUUAACCUGGGAACUGCAUUUGAUACGUGCAGACUAGAGUCCGAGAGAGGGUUGUGGAAUUCCCAGUGUAGAGGUGAAAUUCGUAGAUAUUGGGAAGAACACCGGUUGCGAAGGCGGCAACCUGGCUCGGAACUGACGCUGAGGCGCGAAAGCGUGGGGAGCGAACAGGAUUAGAUACCCUGGUAGUCCACGCUGUAAACGAUGUGUGCUGGAUGUUGGGUGAUUUUAUCAUUCAGUGUCGGAGCUAACGCGUUAAGCACACCGCCUGGGGAGUACGGCCGCAAGGUUGAAACUCAAAGGAAUUGACGGGGGNCCGCACAAGCGGUG